RNAcentral lists this RNase P RNA (342 nucleotides) under bovine gut metagenome. Its description in RNAcentral is "Bacterial RNase P class A". It matches the Rfam family "Bacterial RNase P class A". From Rfam's summary of the family: Ribonuclease P (RNase P) is a ubiquitous endoribonuclease, found in archaea, bacteria and eukarya as well as chloroplasts and mitochondria. Its best characterised activity is the generation of mature 5'-ends of tRNAs by cleaving the 5'-leader elements of precursor-tRNAs. Cellular RNase Ps are ribonucleoproteins. RNAcentral also lists the same sequence under 1 other name. The record is from RNAcentral.
GUAGGAGGGUUUGUCGCUGGCGGCAACGUCAGAGGAAAGUCCGGGCAACAGAGGGCGCCGCGCUUCCUAACGGAAAGUCGUUCGUGAGGGCGAACUAUCGCAGAAGAGAAUGACCGCCUGCUUGCAGGUAAGGGUGAGAAGGUGGGGUAAGAGCCCACCAGUCCCGCUGGUGACAGUGGGAGCUGUGCGAGUCGCGGGUUGUAAGAUCGAAUAUACCGACGCAUGUAGGGCUGCCCGUCCGAUGUCGGGGGGUAGAUUGCUUGAGGCUUAUGGUGACAUAAGUCCUAGAUUAAUGACAAACGCCCGUCCGCGGGUACAGAACUCGGCUUAUACGCCUACUCU